GUCCUCUGCUAGCUCAUCAGCUAGCUCAGCAGCCAAAGUCCUCUGCUAGCUCAUCAGCUAGCUCAUCAGGCCAAGUCCUCUGCUAGCUCAUCAGCUAGCUCAUCAGGCUAAGUCCUCUGCUAGCUCAUCAGCUAGCUCAUCAGCCGAGUCCUCUGCUAGCUUAUCAGCUAGCUCAGCAGCCAAGUCCUCUGCUAGCUCAUCAGCUAGCUCAGCAGCCAAAUCCUCUGCUAGCUUAUCAGCUAGCUCAGCAGCCAAGUCC
Molecule: long non-coding RNA, 259 nt
Organism: Gasterosteus aculeatus aculeatus (three-spined stickleback)
Lineage: Eukaryota; Metazoa; Chordata; Actinopteri; Perciformes; Gasterosteidae
Source: Ensembl